This 74-nucleotide transfer RNA is filed under the name Candidatus Roizmanbacteria bacterium. RNAcentral describes it as "tRNA-Thr". It matches the Rfam family "tRNA". Rfam says of the family: Transfer RNA (tRNA) molecules are approximately 80 nucleotides in length. Their secondary structure includes four short double-helical elements and three loops (D, anti-codon, and T loops). The record is from RNAcentral. Lineage: Bacteria; Candidatus Roizmaniibacteriota.
GCCAUCUUAGCUUAGUGGCAAAGCAGCGGUUUCGUAAACCGUCGACGGGAGUUCGAUUCUCCCAGAUGGCUCAA